This 1537-nucleotide long non-coding RNA is filed under the name Anolis carolinensis (green anole). RNAcentral describes it as "lncRNA (ENSACAG00000036869.1)". Lineage: Eukaryota; Metazoa; Chordata; Lepidosauria; Squamata; Anolidae. The record is from RNAcentral.
GAAAUGCAUACCUCUGAGUGUAUUUUCUCUGCAAGUCACAUUCCUAAAUACAUUUUAACAUUUGAAUAUAUUUUGAGCUGAUAAUUGUUUUGCAAAUGAGAAAAACGUACAAAAUAAAAUAAAGCAAAAUUGCAAUAGAAGUAAAAAAAAUUCUGUGAAAUUUCUCAGACACACACAAAAGGUAUGUGAGGUAUGUUUUCCUAGAAAUCUUUGUUGAAGAAGUAACAUGGGAAGAGAGGCAGUUUAGAAGAAUUUUCAUAUUAUUCCAUAUGCAUAUAUUUUGUUUCUGCAGAAUCAAAGCACGCAAUAUUUUUCAACAUUGGAGCAAAGCAUGAUCUUACAGGAUGUGAAUGGCCAAGUACCAAGACAUCUCUAGAUCACCUAGAAAAUGAAAACGAAUGACCAUUUAAACCAGGAAUAUGUGGAAGGAAGGUUAGACUAACACCUAAUUCAUUAUUUGCCUUCACAAAAUGCACAUUUUCCAUGUGAGCUGCAAAGCUGAAAAGAAGACUAGCUAUUGCCAAGGACAAAGACCCCUCACUGAUUUCUUUUGAAAUAUUAUUUCUCUUUUCACCCAGUGAAAUUUUGUGGGCCUUUAUAGCACCUGAAAUACUGAGAAAUACAGGGAAAGGGGAUGAAAACAGAAAAAUAAAGUACCUAAUAGAGAACUGGGAAAAUGAAGUUGAAAACCCAGCAUGGGUAAGUGAUAAUUCAAAAAUAUUUAAAAGGCUAUUGUAUAAAGAGGAUGGGGGUUACAACACUUAAAGGGCUGUUCCACAGUUCCGAUCAGCACCAAACUGGGUAAAAUGAAAAUGAUUAUGAAUGGAAGUCAUAAACUGACUGUGGAUUUUAAUGUAAUUAUAUAAUGGCACAACCAUCACAAUGAAAUAACUGAUUAGAUAAGGAGGGGGACAGAAUUAUUGCAAAACAAAACAGUAUCCUGAAAAAUCUUGAAACUACAUAAUUUUUUGAAUUGUUGUGGGGGGAGGAGCAUAUUUGCUCAUUCGCUGUCAAUAAUUUAUUUAUUUAUUUAUUUAUUUAUUUACAGUAUUUAUAUUCCGCCCUUCUCACCCCGAAGGGGACUCUGGGCGGAUUACAAUGAACACAUAUAUGGCAAACAUUCAAUGCCAACAGACAAACAACAUUCAGUUUUAUACAGACACAGAGGCAUUUUAACAUCUUUCCAGCUUCACGAUUCCGGCCACAGGGGGAGCUGUUGCUUCACUGUCCACUGGUGGCUGUUCUUCCUCAUUCUUUUCCUCGUGUUUUGCUGGCAGUUUUAUGGUGUUGUAAAUUAGUUAAAUUAGCCUCCCGCAUAAAGCGUACCUAAAUUUUCCCUUCUUGACAGAUGCAACUGUCUUUCGGGGCUGCAUAGGUCAACAGCAAGCCGGGGCUAUUUUUGAUGGUCGGAGGCUUAACCCAACCCGGGCUUCGAACUCAUGACCUCUCAGUCAGUAGUGAUUUAUAGCAGCUGGUUACUAGCCAGCUGCGCCACAGCCCGGUCCCAACUUCCUCAUUCCAACAUUGUAAAUUAGUU